GUUCGAACCACCACUUUUCCCCAUAAUCACGCUCCCAAAAAGUAAUUUAUACCUCCGUUUUAGUUGCUGUUUUCAUUUCAAUCGCUGCCCCCUUUGUGGGUUUUUUCCGCAGAUGUGAAAUUAGGGACGUAUGUUGCGCUGUUGUACGUUUAUUAGUUUUGCUUUCGCUUGUUUUGGAAGGGAUUUUAGCUAUUGAGUUUACAUGCACACCAGCUUACAGAUUGGGAGGAAUGACAUUUGAGAAAAUAUUAAAGACUCGAAUCAAGUCAAGCCACAGGUAGAGCCGAGGUUGACUUGAAAUUGUCAACCAAAGAGCAUGAAGACUCAAUUUCAGAAGAGGCUCAUAUUGUAGAGGUUAAACCAGGAGCUGUUUGUGUGUAUAGGGAUC
Molecule: long non-coding RNA, 388 nt
Filed under: Helianthus annuus (common sunflower)
Lineage: Eukaryota; Viridiplantae; Streptophyta; Magnoliopsida; Asterales; Asteraceae
Description: sRNA HanXRQr2_Chr13g0617221
Source: RNAcentral